CAGGAGCGGGGCUGGAAAGAAGCUCAGAAAGAGAGUCUGGGAACGUGGCCGAUGGGCGGCACGAUGGAGAUCAAAGACCUCACCACUCCGCCCUCUUGGGAAGAGGCAUUAAUAAGAAAGUGGAAGACGGACGGUCUGGGGAAGAGAUCUCCAGCUGAGGUGGCGUGUUCCCGCUGGUAGAAAAACUCCUGGAUGAAUCAAGACUGACAGUGAUGCAGGUUGUGGAAUGGGAAAAUCUUCCUGGGGAACACCUGUUUCUGGAGGUCACCAGCAGCCUCUUUGAAGAGUGAGGAGUGAAGAGUAGAAGCAGCCCGG
Molecule: long non-coding RNA, 315 nt
Organism: Dromaius novaehollandiae (emu)
Lineage: Eukaryota; Metazoa; Chordata; Aves; Casuariiformes; Dromaiidae
Exons: 4
Source: RefSeq, a predicted model, not a curated record